UACGUAGGGGGCAAGCGUUGUCCGGAUUUAUUGGGCGUAAAGAGCGUGUAGGCGGCCAGGUAGGUCUGCUGUGAAAACUCGAGGCUUAACCUCGAGCUGUCGGCGGAAACCAUCUGGCUAGAGUCCGGAAGAGGAGUGUGGAAUUCCUGGUGUAGCGGUGAAAUGCGCAGAUAUCAGGAAGAACACCUAUGGCGAAGGCAGCACUCUGGGACGGUACUGACGCUGAGACGCGAAAGCGUGGGGAGCGAACAGG
This 253-nucleotide ribosomal RNA is filed under the name uncultured bacterium. RNAcentral describes it as "partial 16S ribosomal RNA". It matches the Rfam family "Bacterial small subunit ribosomal RNA", at positions 524 to 776 of the family's 1533-position model. The record is from RNAcentral.